CCUACGGGAGGCAGCAGUAAGGAAUAUUGGACAAUGGACGCAGGUCUGAUCCAGCCAUGCCGCGUGAAGGAUUAAGGUCCUCUGGAUUGUAAACUUCUUUUAUAAGGGACGAAAAAAGGUCUUUCUAGAUCGUCUGACGGUACCUUAUGAAUAAGCACCGGCUAACUCCGUGCCAGCAGCCGCGGUAAU
This 189-nucleotide ribosomal RNA is filed under the name uncultured bacterium. RNAcentral describes it as "partial 16S ribosomal RNA". It matches the Rfam family "Bacterial small subunit ribosomal RNA", at positions 338 to 524 of the family's 1533-position model. The record is from RNAcentral.